AAAUCUAAUAAAAAUAACCUUUUCAUGUCAUGUAGGAUGAAUGCUGUUGGAGUGAAGUAUAGAGAUCAACAAAAAUACCUCUAUUUUGAGGGCCAAGUUACCUACACAUCGUUUUUGGAAAGUGCUUCCAAGAAGUUCAGCAUCCCAACCUUGGACUAAAGUCUUUGAUGACACAAAGACUGAGGUUGAUGAGGAGGUCUUUGAUUUCCUCGUGAAAAAACAAAACCUAGGUGUCCUCGAGAAGGUCCAAAUUCAGAUGAUUGCCUGAGUUCCCCUGCAAGCAGCUCCUUUACCAGCUCCAGUGGGGAUAUUGAUGGGGACUCUGAUGACACCGUAAUAUUGCAGUGCAGUCCUGCCACAAGACGGAGAGCUGAAAACACCUCUCUUGCCAAAAUGAUUGAAGAUGUUCUAAAGAACAAACCUGUCGGAGAGAGGAUCAUCAAUGAGUAUGCUCGGACAAAAAGUCUUAACAGACGGCAGGCGGAGCGACAUGGUCAAGAUAUUGGUUGCACAAAUAACAAGUGAACAUGGUGCUCAUAGUUUGUGUGUAUAUGUGUAGGACAAGUCCUUCAAGGCGUGUCAAAGAGGACCACGCAAAGGGGAUCAUCAACUUGUUCCCAUACCUGGCUGAUCCAAGGAGCAAGUUUGGUUAUGAACAUUUUUACAAUGCAGAAGAUAGGAGUGGGUACCUGGCUUGGAGAUUGAAGUUUGUCCAAAAGGAAGCUUCUGAUGGACAAAAGAAGGCCAUGAGACUCAAGAACACAAAUGGGGGGCCCAUCAGCUGAAAGAGACUUGAGGGAGGACAAUCCCCUAAUGACAGACAGCUUGUGUUCUGAGGCCAUUGCACUGAUGAAGCAUACAGCUGAUAAAGGAAUUGUUAUGACGAAGAUGAAGCAGACCUUCAACUAUCGUCAAAAGAUCAUUCAUGAUCCAGUGAAGUCCUCUGAUGUCUUUCUGGCCUUCCCAAGAUUCCUGGACAUACAAGGAUUAAUUGAGCAAGAUUUUACUUUGAUUGAUGAUGCCAUCUCUGCAAAGUUCCUGGAGAAGUGGCCCACAAUUUACAAGCAAAAAGUCCUUGAACAAAGCCGUGGUCUCACAGUCAGAUGAUCUGCAGUACCUCGUCCAGGCUGCUGAAUCCACAACAGAAGUCGAAAGUGGAUGGGACAGUGACAUGUCGUCCAUUUUGAUCCUUGUGCACCUGCUGCCGCCGUCACCUCAAGGCCGAAAGAGACCAGGAAAGCUCUCCGCCAGUGAGAAUCUUGUGAAGUUCAUCAAGACAGGGACCAGCAUCCAGGGGCAUCCCGAUGGAAUCGCAGGCAGCCUUCAACCAUACCUGCUUGCUGUGGGAACUCAGAGCAAUGUGAUUCACAAGUACUUCAUUGACAAACAUGCAAGAUCUUGUAAGUCAUCUGGCUCUCUUGCUUGAUUUGAUGAGCUUUUCAAAGCUCACUUUGUCUUUGGCACUUCGUACAACCACGAUCUCGUCAAUGUGUACAACUUCCUUCAGUCAACCAUUUAUGAAAUCGAUAUUGAUACAACCAAGGUGAAUCCUAGAGUUGCAGAGUUGAGGCUCGGAUGCUGCGUUGAGUAGAUUUUUCUGAUUUGUUUUUCUGUGAGGGCUCCAUUACAGAAUUACGGUAUUCUGAAAUGUUGUUUUUCAUUUGUAAGAGCUCUCAGACAAAUACUAAUUUAGUUGUAUGUGUUAAAAUUCAUUGUGACAUGCCAGUUUUUCAUAAGAUCCACCAUGCUGUUGUGAAGGAUGAGACAUUGUUUUUUGUUACUUUUGCACUACAAACGGUGUCUCAUCGAGCAUUUUAAUGCAUUUCAAGUUUUGUACACAACAGACGGACCUCAUAUUGUGUUUGUCAACGAUCUUUUCUGUCACAAAGCAUUCGAUUUACAGGUGUCUUGCAGUCAUAAUUACUCCAGUUUUUAUAUUGUGCCAUACUGUUUUCUGUGAACACUUAAUAAAGUAAAGGUGUCACUUAA
Pseudoliparis swirei is the source of this 1989-nucleotide long non-coding RNA. RefSeq lists it as uncharacterized. The record is from RefSeq and is a predicted model, not a curated record. The transcript is spliced from 10 exons. Lineage: Eukaryota; Metazoa; Chordata; Actinopteri; Perciformes; Liparidae.